Molecule: unclassified non-coding RNA, 382 nt
Filed under: Melitaea cinxia (Glanville fritillary)
Lineage: Eukaryota; Metazoa; Arthropoda; Insecta; Lepidoptera; Nymphalidae
Description: misc RNA ENSMCXG00005014584.1
Source: RNAcentral
GUCCACAAGUUUAAAGUCGCACAACGUGCAAUGGAACGGGCUAUGCUUGGGGUCUCUCUCAAAGACAGGAUUAGAAAUGAGACUAUCCGCGAGAGAACGAAAGUAACCGACAUAGCCCACAGAAUUAGCAAGUUGAAGUGGCAGUGGGCUGGUCAUCUGUGUCGCAGGACCGAUGGCCGUUGGAGUAGACGGCAGACGGGUCCUAGAGUGGAGACCGCGUCUUGGCAAACGCAGUGUGGGACGUCCUCCGGCCCGUUGGACCGACGAUCUACGUAAGAUUGCCGGUGUAGGCUGGAUGAGGAUUGCGGAAGACCGGGAUGUGUGGCGCGAACUUGGGGAGGCCUAUGUCAAGCAGUGGACUGCGAUAGGCUGAAGUGAAGUG